RNAcentral lists this ribosomal RNA (254 nucleotides) under uncultured prokaryote. RNAcentral's name for it is "partial 16S ribosomal RNA". It matches the Rfam family "Bacterial small subunit ribosomal RNA", at positions 524 to 777 of the family's 1533-position model. The record is from RNAcentral.
UACGGAGGGGGCUAGCGUUGCUCGGAAUUACUGGGCGUAAAGGGCUCGUAGGCGGUCUGAUAAGUCCUGUGUGAAAUCCCCUGGCUUAACCAGGGAACUGCGCCGGAUACUGUCGGACUAGAGGCCGGGAGAGGGAAGCGGAAUUCCCAGUGUAGCGGUGAAAUGCGUAGAUAUUGGGAGGAACACCGGUGGCGUAGGCGGCUUCCUGGACCGGUUCUGACGCUAAAGAGCGAAAGCUAGGGUAGCAAACAGGA